GGCUUAUUCUUCUACCCUGAAGAUGGAGGAGGUAUAUUCCUCCAAAACGUCGGCUGAUUGUCAGUGAGCUGUGUGGCUUUAUACCCCACAAGACAGAACGCUUCAGUAACUACAUUUCUUCUACAAAUGAAAUUAAAGGUUUGACAAUGUGACCUUCAACGGCAGGAAGUUCAUAGCAAGUUUAAUAAAUAAUGGUCACCGUUUCAAAGGCUGAAAUGGAGGACACACAAACACAGAUAGCAUUGUGACCUCAAGGAAAGAAAGUAUGCCAAAAAUGUAAUGAAAGAUCCUCCCAUCUGAUAGUAUGAGGGUUGCAUCUGACUUCCAGUUGGUGAAGAGCUGCCACUGUUGUUGGCACUAACACUUCCUCCAAUCAUACUA
Molecule: long non-coding RNA, 381 nt
Organism: Cryptotermes secundus
Lineage: Eukaryota; Metazoa; Arthropoda; Insecta; Blattodea; Kalotermitidae
Exons: 3
Source: RefSeq, a predicted model, not a curated record